This is a long non-coding RNA of Camelus dromedarius (Arabian camel), 3712 nucleotides long. RefSeq lists it as uncharacterized. The record is from RefSeq and is a predicted model, not a curated record. NCBI's taxonomy places the organism in Eukaryota, Metazoa, Chordata, Mammalia, Artiodactyla, Camelidae. The transcript has 3 exons.
CAUAGUGUUUUUCUUUUCUUUUUUUAAUUCCACUUAUGAGUGAUAUAUGGUAUUUUUCUUUCCCUUUCUGGCUUACUUCACUUAGAAGGAUGAUCUCUGGGUCCAUCCACGUUGCUGCAAAUGGCAUGAUUUCAUUCUUUUUUAUGGCUGAGUAGUAGUCCACUAUAUAAAUACACCACAGCUUCUUUACCCAGUCAUCUGUCUAUAGGUAUUUAGGUUGCUUCUGUGUCUUGGCUGUUGUAUAUAGUUAUUGCUGCUUUAAAGAUAAGCAAGUGGAGACGUUUCAGGACCUGCAGACACUGUCACCACACAUAUCUUCCUGUCUCUUCACUCUUCUCAGGAGGUUUUGAUCAGAGGAAGGUGGUUCUGACAGGUCUCCCUUGUUCCUUACUGACAAUAUCAACCAGCAAGUUGGAACCACGUUUGAAGUUUUUUUGCAAGAUCCUCAUCAGCCUUGUGUGCUCCUCGUGUUGCAGUCGUGAGGCUGACCUUCCUGAAUGGGCACACACUGGGUGUAGGACAAGCCUCAGUCAUGUGGCAGAGCUGCCAACACGGCCAUCUGUUCUGGCCCAGGAACUGCCGGGAGCCUGGACCCGUAGAAGGGCCAGACCUCACAUCUGGACAUCCUGUUGUGCACCAGGGAUGGGCCCUUCCAGGACUGGCACCUUCCAGCAAGCCCUGGUGGAACUCUCCAUUUGGAGAUGGACAAACUUUUUUUUCCCCCAAAAUACCUUCCCUAACAAGCCCUCAGAGUCGAUUUUUUGGGUUCUGGAAGCAGAAGAGCGCUGCCAGAAUUGACUGUCCAAUGCUUGCUGACGCUGACCACGGCCGGAGACAUGAGCAUAGCAGAUACCAGCCCAAGGGGCAGCCUACAACGUGUGUGGAAGCCAAGGGAGACUUUGAGGAGGAGAGUGUGGGUGGGGGCCUCGCCACGCUCUGAACCGCAGUGGGCCCUGUGAGUCUGCCUGCACCGGCGCCCUCCCCGCUGCGGCCCCGGGGAGACCCCUCCAGCCCCGAGUGACUGCUGGCCUGGGCCGCCCAGGGGAGAACGCCCUUCCCCAGUCUAUGCUGAGACUGGGCAAAUGGGUAGUAACUUUGCCUCCUUUUUUUUUUUUUUUCAGUUUGAGAAUUUUUUUAUUGACAUUUACUUUAUUGUGCAAUGCUGUGUUAGUUUCUGGUGUACAGCAGUGAUUCAGUUAUAUAUUACUAUUCAUAUUUUUUCAUUACAGAUUAUUGUAAGAUACAUAGUUCCCUGUGCUGUACAUUAGGACCUUGUUUUUCUAUUUUAUAUAUGGUAGUUUGUAUCUGCUAAUCCUAAAACUCUUAAUUUCUCUCUCCCCUCUGCCCUUUUCCCUUUGGUAACCAUAAGUUUGUUUUCUAUGUCUGAGUGUCUCUGUUUUGUGAAUAAGUUCAUUUGUAUCAUUUUAGAUUCCACAUAUAAGUGACAUCGUAUGUCUUUCUCUGACUUACUUCACUUAGUAUGAUAAUGUCUAGGUCCAUCCUUGUUGCUGCAAAUGGCAUUUUAUUCUUUUUUAUUGCUGAGUACUAUUCCACUGUAUAUAUACCACAUCUUUAUCCAAUCAUCUCUCCACGGCAUUCAGGCUGUCUCCAUGUCUUGGCUAUUGUAAAUAGUGCUGCUGUGAACGUUGGGGUGCAUGUGUCUUUUAAUUAGGGUUUUCUCUGGAUAUAUGUCCAGGAGUGGGAUUGCUGGAUCUUAAGGUAAGUCUAUUUUUAGUUUAAGGAAUCUCUAUAUUGUUUCCUACAGUGGCUGCACCAGUUUUCAUUUCUACCAACAGUGUAGGAGGGUUUCCUGUUCUCCACACUAGCAUUUAUCAUUCGUGGACUUUUUAAUGAUGGCCAUUCAGACGGGUAUGAAGUGAUACCAUAUGGUACUUUUGGCUUACAUUCUCUGGUAAUUAGUGAUACUGAGCAUCUUUUCAUGUGCCUGUUGGCCAUCUGAAUGUCUUCUUUGGAGAAAUGUCAAUGUAGAUCUUCUGCCCAUUUUUGAUUGGUUUUUUUUGUUACUGAGUUGUAUGAGCUGUAUAUUCUGGAAAUUAAGCCCUUGUCAGUCACAGGGUUUGCAAGUAUUUUCUCCCAGUCUGUAGGUUGUCUUUUCGUUUUUAGUAUCCUUUGCUGUACAAAAGCUUGUAAGUUUGAUUAGGUCCCAUCUGUUGUUUUUUUGCCCCUUGUUUCUAUUGCUUUGGAGGCUGACCUAGGAAAAUAUUGCUACGGUUUAUGUCAGAGAAUGUUUUGCCUACGUUCUCUUCUAGACGAUUUAUGGUGUCCUGCCUUUUAAGUCUUUAGGCCAUUUGGAGUUUAUUUUUGUGUAUGGUGUGAGGGAGUGUUCCAGCUUCACUGAUUUACAUGCAGCUGUCCAGCUUUCCUAACACCACUUGCUGAACAGACUGUCUUUCCUCCACUGUAUAUUCUUGCCUCUUUUGUUGAAGAUUGACUAUAGGUGUGCUGGCUCACUUCUGGGCUCUCUGUUCUGUUCCAUUGAUCCAUAUGUCUUUGUUUAUGCCAAUACCAUGUUGUUUGAUCACUGUAGCUUUGAAGUAUAAAGUCUGGAAAGGUUACGCUUCUAGCUUUUUGUUCUUGUUCCUCAGUAUUGCUUUGAAAAUUGAGUCUUCUGUGAUACUACAUACAUUUUAGGAUUGUUUGUUCCAGCUCUGUGAAAAAUAUCAUGGGUAAUUUGAUAGGGAGUGAAUUAAAUCUUUAGAUUGCUUUGGGUAAUAUGGCCAUUUUAACAAUAUUAAUUCUUCCAACCUAAGAGUGUGGGAUCUCUUUCCAUUUCUUUAAAUCAUCAUUAAUUUCCUUUAUCAAUGUAAUACAGUUCUCAUCCUGUGUCUUUGACCUCCUUGGUUAGUUUUUCUUUUUUAAUCUAUUUUUUUAAAUUGAAUUAGUUACAAUGCAUCAGUUUCUGGUGUAUAGCACAAUGUCCCAGUCAUGCAUAUACAUACAUAUAUUCAUUUUCAUAUUGUUUCAUUAAGGUUAUUACAAGAUAUUGAAUAUAGUUCCCUGUGCUUUAUAGAAGAAAUUUGUUUUUCUUUAACCUAUUUUUAUGUAUAGUGGCUAACAUUUGCAAAUCUCAAACUCCCAAAUUUAUCCUUUCCCACACACUUUCCCCUGGUAACCAUAAGAUUGUUUACUAUAUCUGUAAGUCUGUUUCUGUUUUGUAGAUGAGUUCACUAGUGUCUUUUUUUUUUUAAGAUUCCACAUGAGUGAUACCAUAUGGUAUAUUUUCUUUUUCUGGCUUACUUCACUUAGAAUGACAAUGUCCAGGUCCAUCCCUGUUGCUGCAAAUGGCAUUAUUUUAUUUUUUAUGGCUGAGUAGUAUUCCAUUGUAUAAAUAUGCCACAACCUCUUUAUCCAUUUACCUGUUGAUGGACAUUUAGAUUGUUUCCAUGUCUCAGCUAUUGUAUAUAGUGCUGCUGUGAACAUUGGGGUGCAUUUAUCUAAAGAGUUCCCUCCAGAUAUAUGCCCAGGAGUGGGAUUGCUGGAUCAUAUGGUAAGUCUGUUUUUAUUUUUUUGAAGAAUCUCCACAGUAUUUUCCAUAGUGGCUGCACCAAAAUACAAUCCCACCAGUAGUGUAGGAGGGUUCCCUUCUCUCUACACCCUCUCCAGCACUUAUCAUUUGUGGACUUUUGAAUGAUGGCCAUUCUGUCUGGUGUGAGGUGAUACCUCAUAGUUCACCUCCUUGGUUAGUUUUAUU